AGCGAACGCUGGCGGCAGGCUUAACACAUGCAAGUCGAGCGGGCACUUUCGGGUGUCAGCGGCGGACGGGUGAGUAACGCGUGGGAACGUGCCCUCUGGUUCGGAAUAACUCAGGGAAACUUGAGCUAAUACCGGAUACGCCCUUUUGGGGAAAGGCUUGCUGCCGGAGGAUCGGCCCGCGUCUGAUUAGCUAGUUGGUGAGGUAACGGCUCACCAAGGCGACGAUCAGUAGCUGGUCUGAGAGGAUGAUCAGCCACACUGGGACUGAGACACGGCCCAGACUCCUACGGGAGGCAGCAGUGGGGAAUAUUGGACAAUGGGCGCAAGCCUGAUCCAGCCAUGCCGCGUGAGUGAUGAAGGCCUUAGGGUUGUAAAGCUCUUUUAUCCGGGACGGUAAUGACGGUACCGGAGGAAUAAGCCCCGGCUAACUUCGUG
RNAcentral lists this ribosomal RNA (435 nucleotides) under uncultured bacterium. RNAcentral describes it as "partial 16S ribosomal RNA". It matches the Rfam family "Bacterial small subunit ribosomal RNA", at positions 29 to 507 of the family's 1533-position model. The record is from RNAcentral.